RNAcentral lists this ribosomal RNA (414 nucleotides) under uncultured microorganism. RNAcentral describes it as "bacterial SSU rRNA". It matches the Rfam family "Archaeal small subunit ribosomal RNA", at positions 459 to 872 of the family's 1478-position model. The record is from RNAcentral.
CAGCCGCCGCGGUAAUACCGGCGGCCCGAGUGGCGGUCACUAUUAUUGGGCUUAAAGCGUCCGUAGCCGGGUUGGGAAGUCCUCCGGGAAAUCUGGCCGCUUAACGGUCAGAAUGCCGGAGGGUACUCCCAGCCUAGGGAGCGGGGGGGGCCGGGGGGAUUCCCGGGGUAGGGGGGAAAUCCUAUAAUCCCGGGAGGACCACCUGUGGCGAAGGGGCUCGGCUGGAACGCGUCCGACGGUGAGGGACGAAGGCCAGGGGAGCAAACCGGAUUAGAUACCCGGGUAGUCCUGGCUGUAAACGAUGCGGACUUUGUGUCGGACAAGCUAUGAGCUUGUCCGGUGCCGGAGGGAAACCGUUAAGUCCGCCGCCUGGGGAGUACGGCCGCAAGGUUGAAACUUAAAGGAAUUGGCGGG